RNAcentral lists this ribosomal RNA (425 nucleotides) under uncultured bacterium. RNAcentral's name for it is "partial 16S ribosomal RNA". It matches the Rfam family "Bacterial small subunit ribosomal RNA", at positions 354 to 796 of the family's 1533-position model. The record is from RNAcentral.
GUGGGGAAUCUUAGACAAUGGGGGAAACCCUGAUCUAGCCAUGCCGCGUGAUCGAUGAAGGCCUUAGGGUUGUAAAGAUCUUUCAGGUGGGAAGAUAAUGACUGUACCACCAGAAGAAGCCCCGGCUAACUCCGUGCCAGCAGCCGCGGUAAUACGGAGGGGGCUAGCGUUGUUCGGAAUUACUGGGCGUAAAGCGCACGUAGGCGGAUUGGAAAGUUGGGGGUGAAAUCCCGGGGCUCAACCCCGGAACUGCCUGUGAAACUCCCAGUCUUGAGUUCGAGAGAGGUGAGUGGAAUACGCAGUGUAGAGGUGAAAUUCGUAGAUAUUCGGAGGAAUACCAGUGGCGAAGGCGGCUCACUGGCUCGAUACUGACGCUGAGGUGCGAAAGCGUGGGGAGCAAACAGGAUUAGAAACCCUGGUAGUCC